Molecule: long non-coding RNA, 330 nt
Organism: Salvia splendens (bonfire salvia)
Lineage: Eukaryota; Viridiplantae; Streptophyta; Magnoliopsida; Lamiales; Lamiaceae
Exons: 3
Source: RefSeq, a predicted model, not a curated record
AGACACGAUUUUAAAGCUUAUAAAGUGGGAUCGAAGAGGGAAUUGCUAAUCCAGACAAUAUGCUGCCGGGUCCGAUCAGAGAAAAUGGUGGGCCUGCAGUCUGAAACCAAAAGGAUGAAAUUGCAGUGAUCAUGAGUUCACACAAAUCACUUGGAGUAGAAGUAUUAUCCACAACCACAUAGACAAGGUUAAACUACUUAACAGGAAGAUAACAUUACAUGUUUAAUACCUCUAUAUGUGGAGAUGAAGAUUGAAUAUGACUGUGUCGGUGAUCAGUAUUGGCACUAUGGCUAACAUCAGUUCAGUAUAAGCCGCUGAAAUACUGUUAAG